RNAcentral lists this small nucleolar RNA (122 nucleotides) under Echinops telfairi (small Madagascar hedgehog). RNAcentral's name for it is "Small nucleolar RNA SNORA61 (ENSETEG00000026888.1)". Lineage: Eukaryota; Metazoa; Chordata; Mammalia; Afrosoricida; Tenrecidae. The record is from RNAcentral.
UCCCUCCAGAUUCCUUAGCCCAAAAACCUAAAUAGUGGUUUGAGUGGGUUUCACAAAAAGGAGAAGUGACAUUGAAAUGAACUUGAACUCCUUGAUGACAAACAAGUUCACCUCAAGAAAAG